GGGUCAAUAUAAUUGAAAAUCAUGCAUUAGUGAUCUUUGUUUUUGUUUAAUUCUCAAAAGAUUUAAUCACAUUCUGUUCUAUUUUCAGCAGAUACUUUAAUAAUAAAGAAUGGGUGAAUAAAUUCUCAAAUCAUGCUGCAUAACAGUACAUUUCAACUGUAACAAAACAAAUUAUCUGAUGAAAGCUUCAACCAUCUAGGAAAGGAUGUCAAGCCCAAAGAGAAGGCCAUAUAACAAAUGGUUGCCAAAUUCAUGAAGACUAACUGGGAUGAUACAGUACGUUUCUACUCUUAUGAACCACAUCUAAACAUCAUUUGAGGAUCCCUUUCUCAGAAAAAAAGAAUUUGCAUAUUCAAAGACUAUAUAGUUUAUUGUUAAUUGUACAUUGUUUAACAUUCUUCUUGAGAAUUUUUCACUCAUAUGGGGAUGCCAAUUUUAUAUUUGCCGGUGAAGAGCUGCAAAUUUUGUCCUUUACUUGGCACACAUGGUUAAUUGAGCAAUGAGGGAUCUUUUUGGUGCUAGCACCUACUGCAACACAGGACCUCUGUAUUUACAGUUUCAUCUCUAUGUCCGACUCUGGGAUUUUGAACCAGCAAUUUAAGGAUCAACUCCUUACUCAUGACUCUCAAGCAGACGCUCUUGCCACUGUCCCAUGCAGGUGACUUCAUAGGUUUUAAAAUAAUAAGAUAAGAUUUAUAACUUGAAACUGAUUUUUUUUAAUUCAAUCACAGUAUAGAAAAUAUUUGCAAAAAAAGGGAUGUAAUGGCUACAUGUAGCUCUCACUGGUAUUGCAUG
This is a long non-coding RNA of Saccostrea cuccullata (small rock oyster), 795 nucleotides long. RefSeq lists it as uncharacterized. The transcript has 3 exons. The record is from RefSeq and is a predicted model, not a curated record. NCBI's taxonomy places the organism in Eukaryota, Metazoa, Mollusca, Bivalvia, Ostreida, Ostreidae.